CUACGGGGGGCAGCAGUGGGGAAUAUUGCACAAUGGGCGCAAGCCUGAUGCAGCCAUGCCGCGUGUGUGAAGAAGGCCUUCGGGUUGUAAAGCACUUUCAGCGGGGAGGAAGGCGGUGAGGUUAAUAACCUCAUCGAUUGACGUUACCCGCAGAAGAAGCACCGGCUAACUCCGUGCCAGCAGCCGCGGUAAUACGGAGGGUGCAAGCGUUAAUCGGAAUUACUGGGCGUAAAGCGCACGCAGGCGGUCUGUCAAGUCGGAUGUGAAAUCCCCGGGCUCAACCUGGGAACUGCAUUCGAAACUGGCAGGCUAGAGUCUUGUAGAGGGGGGUAGAAUUCCAGGUGUAGCGGUGAAAUGCGUAGAGAUCUGGAGGAAUAUCGGUGGCGAAGGCGGCCCCCUGGACAAAGACUGACGCUCAGGUGCGAAAGCGUGGGGAGCAAACAGGAUUAGAUACCCGAGUAGUC
This 464-nucleotide ribosomal RNA is filed under the name uncultured Klebsiella sp. RNAcentral describes it as "bacterial SSU rRNA". It matches the Rfam family "Bacterial small subunit ribosomal RNA", at positions 339 to 795 of the family's 1533-position model. Lineage: Bacteria; Pseudomonadati; Pseudomonadota; Gammaproteobacteria; Enterobacterales; Enterobacteriaceae. The record is from RNAcentral.